GGUCCCAUCGUCUAGUGGCCCAGGACGCCGGCCUCUCACGCCGGCAACACGGGUUCGAAUCCCGUUGGGAUCA
Molecule: transfer RNA, 73 nt
Filed under: Thermodesulfobacteriota bacterium
Lineage: Bacteria; Pseudomonadati; Thermodesulfobacteriota
Description: tRNA-Glu
Rfam family: tRNA
About the family: Transfer RNA (tRNA) molecules are approximately 80 nucleotides in length. Their secondary structure includes four short double-helical elements and three loops (D, anti-codon, and T loops). Further hydrogen bonds mediate the characteristic L-shaped molecular structure. tRNAs have two regions of fundamental functional importance: the anti-codon, which is responsible for specific mRNA codon recognition, and the 3' end, to which the tRNAs corresponding amino acid is attached (by aminoacyl-tRNA synthetases). tRNAs cope with the degeneracy of the genetic code in two manners: having more than one tRNA (with a specific anti-codon) for a particular amino acid; and 'wobble' base-pairing, i.e. permitting non-standard base-pairing at the 3rd anti-codon position.
Source: RNAcentral